This 528-nucleotide ribosomal RNA is filed under the name uncultured bacterium. RNAcentral's name for it is "bacterial SSU rRNA". It matches the Rfam family "Bacterial small subunit ribosomal RNA", at positions 777 to 1304 of the family's 1533-position model. The record is from RNAcentral.
AAUAGAUACCCAGGUAGUCCACGCCGUAAACGAUGAGUGCUAAGUGUUAAGGGGGUUCCACCCCUUAGUGCUGCAGCUAACGCAUUAAGCACUCCGCCUGGGGAGUACGGUCGCAAGACUGAAACUCAAAGGAAUUGACGGGGGCCCGCACAAGCGGUGGAGCAUGUGGUUUAAUUCGAAGCAACGCGAAGAACCUUACCAGGUCUUGACAUCCCGCUGACCGCCAUGGAGACAUGGCCUUCCCUUCGGGGACAGCGGUGACAGGUGGUGCAUGGUUGUCGUCAGCUCGUGUCGUGAGAUGUUGGGUUAAGUCCCGCAACGAGCGCAACCCUUGUCCUUAGUUGCCAUCAUUCAGUUGGGCACUCUAAGGAGACUGCCGUACAAAUACGGAGGAAGGUGGGGAUGACGUCAAAUCAUCAUGCCCCUUAUGACCUGGGCUACACACGUGCUACAAUGGGUGGUACAAAGGGCGGCGAACCCGCGAGGGGGAGCGAAUCCCAAAAAGCCACUCUCAGUUCGGAUUGCAGG